Molecule: non-coding RNA, 823 nt
Filed under: Calcaritermes cf. nigriceps
Lineage: Eukaryota; Metazoa; Arthropoda; Insecta; Blattodea; Kalotermitidae
Source: RNAcentral
AGUUAGUUUUAUUCUUGCUGAUUUGUUUAGUGUCCCUUUACUUUAUAUGUAAGUUGUUGCGUGAUUUUAUUUAGUGCUUCUUAAUGGGGGACUAUGAUGUAGAGGAUAGUUAGGAGUUAGUCGCAUUAUUUAUUAUUAUAUAUUUUGGUCUUUUAGAUUUAGUAAUAGGGGUUAGUUGUGGCUAAGUUUGUGCCAGCAGCCGCGGUUAUACAUUAAUUGCUAUUGAACAUUAUUGGUUAUGUAGUUAUAUUAAAGGAGUAGAAAACAAUUACUUGGGCUUGAUAUUGAAUUGGUUUAUUAGGUGGAAUUAUUUUAUUUUUGAUUAUUGCCUUGUUUGUUUAUUGCAGGCUAUGAAAUCUUUCUGUUAAACUAGGAUUAGAUACCCUAUUAUUUUUGACAUUAAUUUAAUUUCCUGGGUAGUAUUAGGUAUGGUCUUGAAACCUAAAGAAUUUGGCGGUGCCCUAUUCCUUUCAGAGGAAUCUGCCCUGUAAUCGAUGAUCCACGUUGGACCUUACUUAAUUUUUUGUUUGUAUACCGUCGUUAUAGCGAGGAUCUUUGUAGUGUUGGAAUUCUCUGGAUCCAUAAUUUUGUUUUAUUUCAGGUCAAGGUGCAGCUUGUUUUUGAGUGUGAGGUGGAUUACAUUGUGUUUUUUGAUUUUGGAGUAUUGGAUGUAUAUCUGGUAGGAAAAUGGAUUUGAUUGUAAUCUGAUGAAGAUUAUUUUUAUGAUAUUGGUUCUAGGGCAUGCACACAUCGCCCGUCGCUCUCAUUCUGUUGAGAUAAGUCGUAACAAAGUGGUCGUACCGGAAGGUGCGGCUGGAAUGUC